AGCGUACACGGUGGAUGCCCUGGCAGUCAGAGGCGAUGAAGGACGUGCUAAUCUGCGAUAAGCGUCGGUGAGGUGAUAUGAACCGUUAUAACCGGCGAUUUCCGAAUGGGGAAACCCAGUGUGUUUCGACACACUAUCAUUAACUGAAUCCAUAGGUUAAUGAGGCGAACCGGGGGAACUGAAACAUCUAAGUACCCCGAGGAAAAGAAAUCAACCGAGAUUCCCCCAGUAGCGGCGAGCGAACGGGGAGGAGCCCAGAGCCUGAAUCAGUGUGUGUGUUAGUGGAAGCGUCUGGAAAGGCGUGCGAUACAGGGUGACAGCCCCGUACACAAAAAUGCACAUAUUGUGAGCUCGAUGAGUAGGGCGGGACACGUGGUAUCCUGUCUGAAUAUGGGGGGACCAUCCUCCAAGGCUAAAUACUCCUGACUGACCGAUAGUGAACCAGUACCGUGAGGGAAAGGCGAAAAGAACCCCGGCGAGGGGAGUGAAAAAGAACCUGAAACCGUGUACGUACAAGCAGUGGGAGCCUCUUAAUGGGGUGACUGCGUACCUUUUGUAUAAUGGGUCAGCGACUUAUAUUCUGUAGCAAGGUUAACCGAAUAGGGGAGCCGAAGGGAAACCGAGUCUUAACUGGGCGUUAAGUUGCAGGGUAUAGACCCGAAACCCGGUGAUCUAGCCAUGGGCAGGUUGAAGGUUGGGUAACACUAACUGGAGGACCGAACCGACUAAUGUUGAAAAAUUAGCGGAUGACUUGUGGCUGGGGGUGAAAGGCCAAUCAAACCGGGAGAUAGCUGGUUCUCCCCGAAAGCUAUUUAGGUAGCGCCUCGUGAAUUCAUCUCCGGGGGUAGAGCACUGUUUCGGCAAGGGGGUCAUCCCGACUUACCAACCCGAUGCAAACUGCGAAUACCGGAGAAUGUUAUCACGGGAGACACACGGCGGGUGCUAACGUCCGUCGUGAAGAGGGAAACAACCCAGACCGCCAGCUAAGGUCCCAAAGUCAUGGUUAAGUGGGAAACGAUGUGGGAAGGCCCAGACAGCCAGGAUGUUGGCUUAGAAGCAGCCAUCAUUUAAAGAAAGCGUAAUAGCUCACUGGUCGAGUCGGCCUGCGCGGAAGAUGUAACGGGGCUAAACCAUGCACCGAAGCUGCGGCAGCGACACUAUGUGUUGUUGGGUAGGGGAGCGUUCUGUAAGCCUGUGAAGGUGGCCUGUGAGGGUUGCUGGAGGUAUCAGAAGUGCGAAUGCUGACAUAAGUAACGAUAAAGCGGGUGAAAAGCCCGCUCGCCGGAAGACCAAGGGUUCCUGUCCAACGUUAAUCGGGGCAGGGUGAGUCGACCCCUAAGGCGAGGCCGAAAGGCGUAGUCGAUGGGAAACAGGUUAAUAUUCCUGUACUUGGUGUUACUGCGAAGGGGGGACGGAGAAGGCUAUGUUGGCCGGGCGACGGUUGUCCCGGUUUAAGCGUGUAGGCUGGUUUUCCAGGCAAAUCCGGAAAACCAAGGCUGAGGCGUGAUGACGAGGCACUACGGUGCUGAAGUGACAAAUGCCCUGCUUCCAGGAAAAGCCUCUAAGCAUCAGGUAACAUCAAAUCGUACCCCAAACCGACACAGGUGGUCAGGUAGAGAAUACCAAGGCGCUUGAGAGAACUCGGGUGAAGGAACUAGGCAAAAUGGUGCCGUAACUUCGGGAGAAGGCACGCUGAUAUGUAGGUGAAGCGACUUGCUCGUGGAGCUGAAAUCAGUCGAAGAUACCAGCUGGCUGCAACUGUUUAUUAAAAACACAGCACUGUGCAAACACGAAAGUGGACGUAUACGGUGUGACGCCUGCCCGGUGCCGGAAGGUUAAUUGAUGGGGUUAGCGGUAACGCGAAGCUCUUGAUCGAAGCCCCGGUAAACGGCGGCCGUAACUAUAACGGUCCUAAGGUAGCGAAAUUCCUUGUCGGGUAAGUUCCGACCUGCACGAAUGGCGUAAUGAUGGCCAGGCUGUCUCCACCCGAGACUCAGUGAAAUUGAACUCGCUGUGAAGAUGCAGUGUACCCGCGGCAAGACGGAAAGACCCCGUGAACCUUUACUAUAGCUUGACACUGAACAUUGAGCCUUGAUGUGUAGGAUAGGUGGGAGGCUUUGAAGUGUGGACGCCAGUCUGCAUGGAGCCGACCUUGAAAUACCACCCUUUAAUGUUUGAUGUUCUAACGUUGGCCCGUAAUCCGGGUUGCGGACAGUGUCUGGUGGGUAGUUUGACUGGGGCGGUCUCCUCCUAAAGAGUAACGGAGGAGCACGAAGGUUGGCUAAUCCUGGUCGGACAUCAGGAGGUUAGUGCAAUGGCAUAAGCCAGCUUGACUGCGAGCGUGACGGCGCGAGCAGGUGCGAAAGCAGGUCAUAGUGAUCCGGUGGUUCUGAAUGGAAGGGCCAUCGCUCAACGGAUAAAA
RNAcentral lists this ribosomal RNA (2422 nucleotides) under human gut metagenome. Its description in RNAcentral is "bacterial LSU rRNA". It matches the Rfam family "Bacterial large subunit ribosomal RNA", at positions 14 to 2461 of the family's 2925-position model. The record is from RNAcentral.